UGAGUCGCGCUCCAGGUGUGGACGGAGCCGGAACCUCCCCGGGGCGCGCGCUGAGUUCACAGGGCCCAAGUCCCGGGCCUUCAGGUCUUGACCGAGCCCAUCCCCGGCCCUCUGUGCCCACGCCUGAGUUUUUGUCUGUAGGAGUUUCAGCAGUUCGCUAAGGCAUCCAACUCUGCAUCAGAGCAGCUGUCUUUCACUGCACUCUGCGACUCCCUUGAGCUCCUCCCUGCGCAAGAUCCGAGAACCCUCUCUUGGAGUCUGGACUGGACCCCUUUCUCCAGCAGCAUUGGGUUCCUCAGAUUCACACUCACAGCAUGCUGAGGCCUGUCUUACAAAGAACGAACUGAGGCUUAGAAAGAUGAAACCAAAACCUCCUCAGUCACGUGGCUGAAAAUCAUUGACUCCACCUGUGACCUGGACAUCUCCCACCUCCAUCCCUGCAGUUGUGUCACCUUUCUGGACCAAACCACUGGACACCUUACACGUAUCGACUGGCAACGUGUACACCUCCACACACUGCUAAAUGACAAAGCCGAAUUUUGAAAUACGAUGCCGUGAGGUGUUUGGAGAAGACACAACUGAAAAGAUGUCAUGGAGGUGGCAGGGGAUCGUCUUGCCCUUUUCUUUUUUUCUGCCUGUAACUUCUGUCCCCCUAAAAUGUAUAAAAUCAAGCUGGAAUCCAACCACCUUAUGCACCCGUUCUUAGGACCUCCUGGGGUUGUGUUACCAAUCAUGGUCCUCAUAUUUGGCUCAGAAUAAAUCUCAUCAAAUAUUUUACAAAUUUGACUCUUUUUGUUGACAAGUCUGUCGCACCGUUUUUUAAUAAGGGCCGUGUGUAAUGUUUUCUUUAGCAACUGUGGCAAAAUUAAACCUUCUUCGAAAUAAAGAGAAAAAGAACUCAUUAUAGAAAACCGUCUUUCUGCUGAUGUGGGCAUUCACUGUGUUCAUUUCUUUUUCCAAAAAGUGUAUCUUUCUUAAAAACUGAAAAAUAUUGAGCCACAAAACACAGUGCCGAUGGCUUGCAUGCGGGACACUCGGGAUAUCGUACUAAAGGGCUCUGAUGCUGUCUUGAUGAUCUCUACGCAGGGUGUUACUUCUGCUGGCUGUGUGACCUUGGAGAGGUUGCUUAACCUCUCUGAGCCACAAGUGUAAAAGGAUGAGAUUGGUCCCUAAAGUCUCCUCCAGCAUUAAAGCUAGAUGAUCCUGAAUCUUCUGCUGUUUGAGGAUCAGACAAACAACAGUGGACAGGGUUAUUCCUGUUGAAAAUGAUAACCCUGAGAUAAUGGCCAUAAUUAUCUUGGUACCCAAAGAAGCCUUAAAUCCUCAUUGGAUGAAGACAUUGCCAUAAUAACCAGCCUUUAAAAAGUGCCCAUAACAACCAGCCUUUAAAAAGUGCCCAG
Molecule: long non-coding RNA, 1400 nt
Organism: Cercocebus atys (sooty mangabey)
Lineage: Eukaryota; Metazoa; Chordata; Mammalia; Primates; Cercopithecidae
Exons: 3
Source: RefSeq, a predicted model, not a curated record